Long non-coding RNA from Manihot esculenta (cassava), 3747 nucleotides. RefSeq lists it as uncharacterized. The record is from RefSeq and is a predicted model, not a curated record. The transcript has 4 exons. NCBI's taxonomy places the organism in Eukaryota, Viridiplantae, Streptophyta, Magnoliopsida, Malpighiales, Euphorbiaceae.
UUUUUUAAUGGAUUCAAUCUAAUUGUUAUUACAAUGCUAUUUGGGCUUAUUUGACAAGUAAUAGAAAGUUGUGGAGUUUAUUUAAAUUUUUGCCAAUGAUCAAUCUUCCAGCUCGAUAGAGAUCGGAGAGUGGUUGCGAGCGAGCGCACUGCCCUGAAGUCGUGCCAGCAUCAUCAUCGUCAAGCCUGUCGGCGAAGGUGCACUCUUUGUUGAUCUUCAACAUUUGCGAUAGCUAUGUGAGGCGCGCUUCUCGGCUCCGUCCUACCCGAUGGCACCGUCGACAUUCGUAAUUCUUACGCCGUCCCUCAAAAUGAAUCCUCCGACCUGGUCUGCAGUCCUUCGUUACUGAGAAUUUAUUAUUCUGGCGAUUUAUGAAAUUUUUACUCAAAUUUUUAUGCGCAAUGGUUAAAGUGAACUUCUUAUGAUGAUUUUCUAAUUGAAAACACGACUAUUGUAAUAUUGAAAUGGAGUUGUAAUUUGUGUUUCCCGGGGAGUUUCCGUCAUUGCUUGUACUUGUUCAACAUUAGUUUAGAGAGUCAGAUUAACGAUUGAAACCACAGUGGUGUUACAUGCUUAGCAGGAAACUGUAAGAGUUGCUAGUUUAGUAAGCAGUGAAAAGAUUUCCUAUUUAAGGAAUUUUGUUAAAGUCUCGCUGAAUGCAGUCAUGGAUGGACUAAACUAAUGGGAGUGUUGCUGUGGAUAUCUGCAACUAGUGUUUGUUGAUUGAGAAAAUAAGGGAGAAUUCAGAGAGAGAAGAAGGAUCUAGAAAAGAGAAGAGAGUCUCAUCAUUUUUCACAACUGAUUAACAUCCUAAAUGACACCACUCUAUAUAUUGACUGAAAAAUUCUGGCUGUUCUGUAACAAAUAACUAACUAACAACCCCUUGUAACCACUUCAAACUGAUAUUCCCUCCAGAUCUUUUUGCUUAUUUCUUAUUGAAGCUUUCUUAUUCUUCUCUGGAUAAUUGAGAUUGUUUGUCAGCUGAGAAUGUUUGAGAAAGAGAAGGAAAGGGAAAUAAAAAUAGCAGUUUUGAGUGAAAAAAAAUAAAUUAAAGAUAGAGGAUUGUAGAAGCUUUUCUAAGAUUUUCUAAUUCACAAACUAGCUCAUGGUUAUAUCUUUUAAUCAAUUCCAUUAAUCCAUUUCUGUAUAUAAUGUACAGCAAUUGUAAUUAACUUCUGUAAUUGUCAACUGUCUCACUAAUAAACUGCUACUAUCAUUGUUCCUUACAUAGAGUGAAAGUUGGAGUAGUGUGUGGAAAGCUUGAGUUCAUUUUUUAGCAUUUGGAUAAUGAAAAAGAAAAGGGAAACUUUAAACUACUGAUUUUUCAGUUACCUGUGGAAUCCACUUACAUUUGAUUUGACACUUUGAAAAAGAUUGGAGCUCAUUUGAGGUUGAGUUUCUCCUAACGUUUUCUUCCCCUCUUUCACUUAAUUUUCAAUUAUGCGGUCGUUAAAUUAUAUGUUCCCUUUGUAAAGGCUGCAGGUUGCUCUGGGUAUUGAUUACCAUCAUAAUACGUUGUUGUCUCACCAAAAAGUGAAUCCAAAGGAAGUUAUUGUUGGAUGUUAUGUCCAGGUAUUCCACUGUGUUACGAGUCACUGGUGGAAGUGCAUUGAUUCAUGAAUUCUAUUCUAGAGAAGUUCCCAAUCCUAUUCAUCUAACGGUGGAUGCUGGAUUCAGGAAUGGAGCGGGUACUAUUAAAGCCUAUGUUUCUGUUAAUUUGUUUCUCGGAGACCAUCAGCUUGCUUUACAAUUUCAAGAAAUUCCUGUCGAUCUUUGAAUGGUUGAAGAUGAGCAAGUUGGAUGUACGUAUAUUCUGAAAACUUCAUUGUUCUAAUAGGAUCUUUACUAAUCUUUGUCCUUUUACAAUUUAAAGCAAGUCAAUCCUGGAUUGUUUCAUGAUGAAUUUAGAGCAAUCCUGGAUUGGUUUUUUCAUGCGGUAUCUGAGAGCUAUCCGAUACAGUCUUGAUUGUUUUCCCCCCACCUCUACUUUCUUGUGUGAUUACUUUUUCCUUUUAUAGGUGGUAAGAAUAUAAUUUAUAGUUGUGGUAAGGAUUGAUGUUGGUAAUCCUUGUAGAACUUUGUUUCAGAUAGUGCCUUCAAAAUUAUGAAAACUACAUCUGCAGGCCUAGUUGAUAAUGGCCUCUGUGAAAUUAAAGUGACUGUUUAUCUUGUUAUUUUUCCUUUCCCUAGGUGGCAUGCGGCAGGCUCUUUUUGUUAAUUGAAAAGAAAAAUUAGUCACUAUUCUUGACUUUGUUGCUUUUUAGUAAGAAACAUUUAUCUUGCUUAACGUUGAGAUAUUAUUCUGGUGCAACAGUUACUGGAUUUGCAGUUGAUAAGAUCAAGUUACAUUUGGAUAGAUAACUUGAAACUAAUGAUGUGAAUUUAAUGUCUUGUCAAUUGUACAUGUAAAAAUUUAAAAUGAAUCCUUUUGAUAGAUUUUUGAUUCUUCGUAAAACAAGUUUCAUCCAUUUUGGAUCCCAUCGACCACAACCUCAUUCAAGUAAUUUAAACUAAAUAUUAAAUUCAGAUAUCUCCACUUCAUAUCCAUCUCAAGGUGACCUAUUCUUGUGUGAGCAAACUAGAUUUGGUGUGCUCCAUAUAUUUUACAUCUCAUUUCCUUUUCUUCAGUAUUAUUUUCAUAUCCUCUUUUAGAUUUUUGGAGUUUUGUACGCUUGUAUGUUGGUUAAGCCGAGAUUUUUUAGUGUGGUAUUAAUAAGAUUGUACUGAGUCAGAGUGUCUCAUGCAAUAUGAUUUGGCCGCCCUUUUUGUCCAUAAUUGUAGUUGAUGUCCUUAUGACAACAAUGGUUGACAAAAUCCCAAGUGAUUUAGAAGUAAUGGAAGCCUCAAUGCAGCAGUUACUAGCGCUAAAUGACAAUGUCUUCAGAUAUGUUGAUGAUGUUGUGCGGAAGGGCUUGCUGCAUCAUAUAGUAGCAUAGGCCGGCUUAUAUCAGAAACUGUUGCUUCCUUCCCAAACUUUUGCCAUCAACCUUUGAUAAGCUUGUGAACGACGGUCUUCAGGACCAUCUGCUCUUCCUAUAUUUAUCAAGCUCACGAGGACACGGCUAACGUUGAAUGUUGAAUGGUAAGUCCUCUGAUCCUCUGAUUUCUUUUAUGCAUUUUUUGGAUUGAUGGGUCAAAACAAUUAUAAUGUUGAAUGUUUUGACCAUUUGUAUUGCAUCAUGUCUUAUUCGACAAUACUAAUUGUUUUAAUAGUUGCCGAACAAAGCCCAGCUUGAGUAAUCAGCCUCUCAUUAUCAGUUGCUCCUUCUACUUAGAGCUGGUGGUCAUCCAAGGCAGGUAGUUUGCAACCUAGAGUUUCCUUCAUGUUAUGCGGGUCCUUUUCCGGGUUGGUUGGACCCGUUUACUAGCCCUAGAAUUUGUUGUUAGUAGGUUUGGGCCUCUCUGUAUUGGGCUUAGCUUUUUUAUAUGUUGGAUUUGCUCGGCCUUGUAUCUUGGGUUCUACCCUCUUCAUGUAUUGGGCUUCUUUCUAUCUAAUAAAUAUCUCAUCUUUAGCAGAAAAAAAAAAAAAAAAACUAGUGGAGCAAGGCAACUGUCCCCUCUCAUAAACUAUUCUGCCUCAACCAGUAGAUUCCAACCUUGUACAAUAUCAAAAUUCUAUAUUAAAUGGUAAUUGUUAGAUAUGUUCAUUUUCAGAAAGAAAAUAAUAUAAUUUCAUAUUAUGUAAAGAAAAUGUGACAGAAUUGUUAAACGUUUUCAAUGUCAUUUGCUUAUGCUAUUUGGAUAAUG